This 344-nucleotide RNase P RNA is filed under the name human gut metagenome. RNAcentral's name for it is "Bacterial RNase P class A". It matches the Rfam family "Bacterial RNase P class A". From Rfam's summary of the family: Ribonuclease P (RNase P) is a ubiquitous endoribonuclease, found in archaea, bacteria and eukarya as well as chloroplasts and mitochondria. The record is from RNAcentral.
GUAGUCCAGGCAGUUGCGUGCACCACCUGGGUGUAUGAGGAAAGUCCGGGCUCCAUAGGGCGAGGAUGCCAGAUAACGUCUGGCGUAGGUAACUAUAGGGAAAGUGCAACAGAAACACACCGCCGAAACGGGUAAUGCCGUGGUAAGGUUGAAAUGGUGAGGUAAGAGCUCACCGGGAGGUAUGGUAACAUAUUUCCCGUGUAAACCCCAUCCGGAGCAAGACCAAAUAGGGCAAAGAAGGCGGCUGCCCGUCGCCGCCCGAGAGGUAGGUCGCUGGAGCGUGCUGGUGACAGUACGUCGAGAUAGAUGAUUGCCAAAUACAGAACCCGGCUUACGGGCUGCCC